Long non-coding RNA from Dalotia coriaria, 785 nucleotides. RefSeq lists it as uncharacterized. The record is from RefSeq and is a predicted model, not a curated record. The transcript is spliced from 2 exons. Lineage: Eukaryota; Metazoa; Arthropoda; Insecta; Coleoptera; Staphylinidae.
ACCUGAAAAACCACCAAACACCGUGUAAUCAUCAACAACAAUGUGUGUGUGUGUGUGUGUGUGUGUUUAACUUAACAAACAAACAAACAAAAUGAGUGUGAGUGUGUUGGUGUUGCAACAAAACAUCAAAUCAAAUAAUCCAGAUCGCCAUCAGUCAACGUCAAUUGAAGUGAAUUUCAGCUACGGAAACAAAUCAAGGACACAAGGAUGAUUCAAUUUGUGUUUUGCUUGCGAGAGACAUUCAAAGAAAUCAACUACACAAAAAGAUUUAAAAAUCUAAGUGUUUUCAACUAGACUAAAAAGUGGAGGAGAGUGUUGAACACUACAACUACAAAACAUCAGUGAUUACAGAAUUUCAACAAGGACUAUCUAUGAUUCUAUGCAAUACAUGCAAUAAUAUAACAAAAUAUUAACACAGCUUGGCACAGUUUCCCCACCACAACAUGUUUUCAUCGAAUGAUUGAACACAAUUUAUACACAAAAAAUAAUGAAAGCAUCGACUUCCAGUCAACAAAUCACAAUAUAUAAAUAUAUAAUUCAAUUAAUUGUUCAUACGCCAUGUGCAGAGGUAGAAUUAAUUAAUAAUUUAUCAAUAACAACAUUAAUAAAGAAUUGCUACAUAUACUUCUAGCAACAAAACACUAUAUUUUACAAACUAAACAUGUAUAAAAUAUAUAUCAAUGUUUAAAAUGAUCAAAAUAAAAAAAAAAAAACGAAUCUAAAUCAUAGAGUUAUGGAGAGGCCUAUAAGUAUAUAGCAGUAAUAAAUAUGUACGCUUAUAACAA